GAUGAACGCUAGCGGCAGGCCUAAUACAUGCAAGCCGAACGGCAAGUUGAGUAGCAAUACUUGACCUAGAGUGGCGUAAGGGUGCGUAACACGUAUGCAAUCUACCCGCAACAGGAGGAUAGCUCUACCGGAAAGGGGAAUUAAGCCUCCAUGGGAUCAUGGGGUGGCAUCACUCCAUGAUUAAACUACCAGGGGUUGUGGAUGAGCAUGCGCAUGAUUAGUUAGUUGGC
This 230-nucleotide ribosomal RNA is filed under the name uncultured bacterium. RNAcentral describes it as "partial 16S ribosomal RNA". It matches the Rfam family "Bacterial small subunit ribosomal RNA", at positions 28 to 253 of the family's 1533-position model. The record is from RNAcentral.